GGUUAUUUUAAAAGAAAGAAGCACUUGGGAUAUAUGCCAUAAAGGAUUCCUCUGGGAUUAGGAAUGUAAAGCAGUAUAGUAGUAAAAGAUCUAUGAAAAAUAUGCUGAAAAUGUAUUCAUUUCACCUACUUGAGAUAAGAAUGAAUACUUCACCUUAAGAGAAUUUCGAAAGUCUUCUGAAAAACAAUCCAGUGUUUUCCCGAUGGUUAAAGGAGGAUAAAUAUCGAGUUUUUCAGCUAAAAGAGGAAGAGACAAGGGAAAGUUGGAAGGAUAUACAUGGGAUUCGAGACCCAGAACCCCUAGGUAUGUGGAGAGCGAUGCAAUUAACACAUAUGCUUAAGAGUUUAUGUCAGGAUUCGGCAGGCUGGAGGUGGAUCCUCUGUGUCAGAGAGGGAUUGGCGUGGACCGUGUCGGUGGACCGGUUCUAAGUUGCUACUGGUUUUCACCAGAGCCCGCCGCAAAGCGGGAUGGACUUGCAGCGGCGGUAGCAACCAGGUCGUAUCCACCGGCAACGGCUCAACCUCUCUGACUGCUGAGAUAGGCGCGGUACAAGGGAUUAGACAAGAGCAGGGUCGGACGUAGCAGAAGGUCAGGGCAGGCAGCAAGGAUCGUAGUCAGGGGCAACGGCAAGAGGUCUGGAACACAGGCUAGGAACACACAAGGAACGCUUUCACUGGCACAAUGGCAACAAGAUCCGGCAAGGAAGUGCAGGGGAAGUGAGGUAAUAUAGGGAAGUGCACAGGUGAAGACACUAAUUAAAACCCAUG
Hyla sarda is the source of this 767-nucleotide long non-coding RNA. RefSeq lists it as uncharacterized. Lineage: Eukaryota; Metazoa; Chordata; Amphibia; Anura; Hylidae. The transcript has 3 exons. The record is from RefSeq and is a predicted model, not a curated record.